CUCAAACAAUCUAAGCUGCAGGAGCUCAAUGGAAAGAAGCAGAAGAUCCAGAACAACCUGCAGACCCUGAAGAAAGAGCUGGAGAACAAAAACAAAGAGCUGGAGACAAUCAAAGCCACCCUAUCCCAGUCUUCCUGGUGGCCUUGGUGGAGUCACAGAAAAGAAGACGAGCAGAAGAAGAAUAAAGCUGAGCAGGAAGUGGAGACACUGAAGAAGAAGAUAGAGACUCAUCAGAAGGAAUUGGACACCAAAAUCAAA
This is a long non-coding RNA of Morone saxatilis (striped sea-bass), 258 nucleotides long. RefSeq lists it as uncharacterized. Lineage: Eukaryota; Metazoa; Chordata; Actinopteri; Moronidae. The transcript has 3 exons. The record is from RefSeq and is a predicted model, not a curated record.